Molecule: ribosomal RNA, 441 nt
Filed under: uncultured bacterium
Lineage: Bacteria
Description: partial 16S ribosomal RNA
Rfam family: Bacterial small subunit ribosomal RNA
Source: RNAcentral
CCUACGGGAGGCAGCAGUGGGGAAUAUUGCACAAUGGGGGAAACCCUGAUGCAGCGACGCCGCGUGAGUGAAGAAGUCUUUCGGUAUGUAAAGCUCUAUCAGCAGGGAAGAAGGAAGACAGUACCUGACUAAGAAGCCCCGGCUAACUACGUGCCAGAAGCCGCGGUAAUACGUAGGGGGCAAGCGUUAUCCGGAUUUACUGUGUGUAAGGGGAGCGUAGACGGCUGUGCAAGUCUGAAGUGAAAGCCCAGGGCUUAACCCUGGGACUGCUUUGGAUACUGUGCAGCUAGAGUGCUGGAGAGGUAAGUGGAAUUCCUAGUGUAGAGGUGAAAUGCGUAGAUAUUAGGAGGAACACCAGUGGCGAAGGCGGCCCACUGGACAGUAACUGACGUUGAGGUUCGAAAGCGUGGGGAGCAAACAGGAUUAGAUACCCUUGUAGUC